Molecule: long non-coding RNA, 2050 nt
Filed under: Hordeum vulgare
Lineage: Eukaryota; Viridiplantae; Streptophyta; Magnoliopsida; Poales; Poaceae
Description: long non-coding RNA (HVUL_LNC004020)
Source: RNAcentral
CCUCAGCCCAGCUGCUCUGUUCAUGGACCCGGAUGAGAAUAUUUUUAAUGCAGAUUAGCCCCUCGCAGAAAAUCAUCCAUAUCUUUUUAUCCGUGACUCCGAUUCCAGUGAUUCUAGCGGUCACGUCUUCGCUUCGUCAAGCCCGUCAAGAUGGUAUCAUUUUCACCAUGUGAUAUCACAGUGGAAAUGACCAUGUUGCCCUUGCCGUAGACAGCCCCUCCUCCGAGAGAGAACUGUUUCCGGCAAUUUCUUCCGCGAGUUUUUCGCGCUUCUUCCCGGUGGUGUCAUCAUCCCAGGCAAUCCACAACUUUCAUUUAUGUUAUUGCAUUGCAACAUUAUAGUCUCAUCAACUGCUUUGAUAAUAAAUAUAUCUGUUGAUAGUCUCGCCUAUGAGUAUGCACUGUUUGAAUAAAUGAAUGCCGUAUUGAGCACAAGACCGUUAGCAACUAACGGUUUCACCCACUAAUUUACUCUAUACUGUUGAGAUUAUUGUCUAUGAUUACUUUGUGAAUAUGGAUCAACAGUAGUGGCUAGAGCUUAUCAGAUUGCUAUGACAUCGGGUGUCAGCUGUGACAGAUUAUUCGGAGAUAAGAUAACUAGUUGGUUGAUCAGAGUCACCUGACCGGGCCCAUCCGCACAACCACCUCUUGCCGAUAUGGGACGGCCCUGACUUGAGCUGAUUGUGUGAUCUCUCACCGGUACUUCCAAAGAGGGAGGGUUAUGCACGCGUGCCACCUUGGUCCGGUGGGCGGUGAUAACUCUGUGAGCCCAGUUAAGUUGAGUUGGGCCCGUCCACGUUUGGGACAAUUUGUUUGGCCACGACGGUGGCACGUGUCAUGAGGACACGGGUGUCAUGAGCACACAGGGCCACCCAGGGCAGGACUCCAGAAGGGAGUGGUUGCCGGGGAUAUGAUGAGAGAGUCACGGGUCAGGAAAGUUUCGUUGGAGCAAUGUUGGUCCACCCAAAUGGGAUCACGAGGUCAGUGCUCCAGGGCGUGGGUAAAGUGUGCAACCUCUGCAGAGUGUAAAACCUAUUCGAAUAGCCGAGUCCAUGGUAUUGGACAACCCGACCAGACCUCGGUAGAAGGUCAACCGUAUCUAUGAUAGUAAUGAUGGAAGAACUCGUCUGAGUAUGUAACAGUUGGGCAUCGUGCCAGUGUAAUAGUUGGGCAUCGUGACAGUGUAACAGUUGGGCAUCGUGUCGGUGUUACAGUUGGGCAUCGUGCCAGUGUAACAGUCGGGCAUCGUGCCGAUGUUACAGUUGGGCAUCAUGUCGGCGUUACAUUUGGGCAUCGUGCCGGUGAUAAGUCCUCGUAUCCAUCUUGAGGAUACUCGCUAAGGAUCUUGGCAAGAUCACAUGAGUUGGUAUCACCUGGGUAUGGUGAGAGUAGCCUGGUAUAGUUAGUUCUCUGAUACUCCUUUAGUAAUAACAACCUUUUACUUAAUCUUGGUUGAUAUGAUGUUGUCUUGCCUUAAUGCUAAUGUUUGUUGUGAGCUUGCGAGUACAUUCAAAGUACUCACCUGGAUUGUCAUGCCAGUUUGCAGGUCAUGGCUUGAUUUCUUGAUUGUCAAAGAUUCCGAGUUGCGAGCUAGAAUGCGCGUUCCAGCUAGAGUCCCUGCAGAGUGGAGUUCAUCACAUCGGUAGUUGUUUUGGUGCCAGCGUAAGAUUUACCGUAGACAGGUGUAGUAUCGCCACGGCGAUGUAAUCUAUGUAUCCUUGUAAUCGUUUCCAUAGUAAUAAAGAGCUGAUUUGUUCUGUGCCAACGGUUCCGUAUUCCAGAAGAUCGGCCCUUGGGCUGGAAUGCGGGGUGUUCCAGUUUCCUCUGAGCCGGGGUGCCACAAGAGUUUGUAUUAGAGCAGGUUUGGUUGUAGGACGCCCUAGACCGCGCGAGCGUUAGUAACCGGUAGUACGGGAUCCAGUUGGUUUAGUGCACCUGUUUGUUGCAUUUGAUUGUGCAUAGCAUGCAUAUAGACUAGAUAUGCUAUUACUAACGAUGGAUAUGGUGCGUGUAGGUGGCAUCGGCUUCUAUUCACCACGUACGCUCUCCAG